Molecule: ribosomal RNA, 2902 nt
Filed under: Escherichia coli HVH 27 (4-7449267)
Lineage: Bacteria; Pseudomonadati; Pseudomonadota; Gammaproteobacteria; Enterobacterales; Enterobacteriaceae
Description: bacterial LSU rRNA
Rfam family: Bacterial large subunit ribosomal RNA
Source: RNAcentral
UUAAGCGACUAAGCGUACACGGUGGAUGCCCUGGCAGUCAGAGGCGAUGAAGGACGUGCUAAUCUGCGAUAAGCGUCGGUGAGGUGAUAUGAACCGUUAUAACCGGCGAUUUCCGAAUGGGGAAACCCAGUGUGUUUCGACACACUAUCAUUAACUGAAUCCAUAGGUUAAUGAGGCGAACCGGGGGAACUGAAACAUCUAAGUACCCCGAGGAAAAGAAAUCAACCGAGAUUCCCCCAGUAGCGGCGAGCGAACGGGGAGGAGCCCAGAGCCUGAAUCAGUGUGUGUGUUAGUGGAAGCGUCUGGAAAGGCGUGCGAUACAGGGUGACAGCCCCGUACACAAAAAUGCACAUAUUGUGAGCUCGAUGAGUAGGGCGGGACACGUGGUAUCCUGUCUGAAUAUGGGGGGACCAUCCUCCAAGGCUAAAUACUCCUGACUGACCGAUAGUGAACCAGUACCGUGAGGGAAAGGCGAAAAGAACCCCGGCGAGGGGAGUGAAAAAGAACCUGAAACCGUGUACGUACAAGCAGUGGGAGCCUCUUAAUGGGGUGACUGCGUACCUUUUGUAUAAUGGGUCAGCGACUUAUAUUCUGUAGCAAGGUUAACCGAAUAGGGGAGCCGAAGGGAAACCGAGUCUUAACUGGGCGUUAAGUUGCAGGGUAUAGACCCGAAACCCGGUGAUCUAGCCAUGGGCAGGUUGAAGGUUGGGUAACACUAACUGGAGGACCGAACCGACUAAUGUUGAAAAAUUAGCGGAUGACUUGUGGCUGGGGGUGAAAGGCCAAUCAAACCGGGAGAUAGCUGGUUCUCCCCGAAAGCUAUUUAGGUAGCGCCUCGUGAAUUCAUCUCCGGGGGUAGAGCACUGUUUCGGCAAGGGGGUCAUCCCGACUUACCAACCCGAUGCAAACUGCGAAUACCGGAGAAUGUUAUCACGGGAGACACACGGCGGGUGCUAACGUCCGUCGUGAAGAGGGAAACAACCCAGACCGCCAGCUAAGGUCCCAAAGUCAUGGUUAAGUGGGAAACGAUGUGGGAAGGCCCAGACAGCCAGGAUGUUGGCUUAGAAGCAGCCAUCAUUUAAAGAAAGCGUAAUAGCUCACUGGUCGAGUCGGCCUGCGCGGAAGAUGUAACGGGGCUAAACCAUGCACCGAAGCUGCGGCAGCGACACUAUGUGUUGUUGGGUAGGGGAGCGUUCUGUAAGCCUGUGAAGGUGGCCUGUGAGGGUUGCUGGAGGUAUCAGAAGUGCGAAUGCUGACAUAAGUAACGAUAAAGCGGGUGAAAAGCCCGCUCGCCGGAAGACCAAGGGUUCCUGUCCAACGUUAAUCGGGGCAGGGUGAGUCGACCCCUAAGGCGAGGCCGAAAGGCGUAGUCGAUGGGAAACAGGUUAAUAUUCCUGUACUUGGUGUUACUGCGAAGGGGGGACGGAGAAGGCUAUGUUGGCCGGGCGACGGUUGUCCCGGUUUAAGCGUGUAGGCUGGUUUUCCAGGCAAAUCCGGAAAACCAAGGCUGAGGCGUGAUGACGAGGCACUACGGUGCUGAAGCGACAAAUGCCCUGCUUCCAGGAAAAGCCUCUAAGCAUCAGGUAACAUCAAAUCGUACCCAAAACCGACACAGGUGGUCAGGUAGAGAAUACCAAGGCGCUUGAGAGAACUCGGGUGAAGGAACUAGGCAAAAUGGUGCCGUAACUUCGGGAGAAGGCACGCUGAUAUGUAGGUGAAGCGACUCGCUCGUGGAGCUGAAAUCAGUCGAAGAUACCAGCUGGCUGCAACUGUUUAUUAAAAACACAGCACUGUGCAAACACGAAAGUGGACGUAUACGGUGUGACGCCUGCCCGGUGCCGGAAGGUUAAUUGAUGGGGUUAGCGGUAACGCGAAGCUCUUGAUCGAAGCCCCGGUAAACGGCGGCCGUAACUAUAACGGUCCUAAGGUAGCGAAAUUCCUUGUCGGGUAAGUUCCGACCUGCACGAAUGGCGUAAUGAUGGCCAGGCUGUCUCCACCCGAGACUCAGUGAAAUUGAACUCGCUGUGAAGAUGCAGUGUACCCGCAGCAAGACGGAAAGACCCCGUGAACCUUUACUAUAGCUUGACACUGAACAUUGAGCCUUGAUGUGUAGGAUAGGUGGGAGGCUUUGAAGUGUGGACGCCAGUCUGCAUGGAGCCGACCUUGAAAUACCACCCUUUAAUGUUUGAUGUUCUAACGUUGGCCCGUAAUCCGGGUUGCGGACAGUGUCUGGUGGGUAGUUUGACUGGGGCGGUCUCCUCCUAAAGAGUAACGGAGGAGCACGAAGGUUGGCUAAUCCUGGUCGGACAUCAGGAGGUUAGUGCAAUGGCAUAAGCCAGCUUGACUGCGAGCGUGACGGCGCGAGCAGGUGCGAAAGCAGGUCAUAGUGAUCCGGUGGUUCUGAAUGGAAGGGCCAUCGCUCAACGGAUAAAAGGUACUCCGGGGAUAACAGGCUGAUACCGCCCAAGAGUUCAUAUCGACGGCGGUGUUUGGCACCUCGAUGUCGGCUCAUCACAUCCUGGGGCUGAAGUAGGUCCCAAGGGUAUGGCUGUUCGCCAUUUAAAGUGGUACGCGAGCUGGGUUUAGAACGUCGUGAGACAGUUCGGUCCCUAUCUGCCGUGGGCGCUGGAGAACUGAGGGGGGCUGCUCCUAGUACGAGAGGACCGGAGUGGACGCAUCACUGGUGUUCGGGUUGUCAUGCCAAUGGCACUGCCCGGUAGCUAAAUGCGGAAGAGAUAAGUGCUGAAAGCAUCUAAGCACGAAACUUGCCCCGAGAUGAGUUCUCCCUGACUCCUUGAGGGUCCUGAAGGAACGUUGAAGACGACGACGUUGAUAGGCCGGGUGUGUAAGCGCAGCGAUGCGUUGAGCUAACCGGUACUAAUGAACCGUGAGGCUUAACCUU